RNAcentral lists this ribosomal RNA (253 nucleotides) under uncultured bacterium. RNAcentral describes it as "partial 16S ribosomal RNA". It matches the Rfam family "Bacterial small subunit ribosomal RNA", at positions 524 to 776 of the family's 1533-position model. The record is from RNAcentral.
UACGGGGGGGGCAAGCGUUGUUCGGAAUUACUGGGCGUAAAGGGCUCGUAGGUGGCCAACUAAGUCAGACGUGAAAUCCCUCGGCUCAACCGAGGAACUGCGUCUGAUACUGGAAGGCUUGAAUCCGGGAGAGGGAUGUGGAAUUCCAGGUGUAGCGGUGAAAUGCGUAGAUAUCUGGAGGAACACCGGUGGCGAAGGCGGCAUCCUGGACCGGUAUUGACGCUGAGGCGCGAAAGCUAGGGGAGCAAACGGG